RNAcentral lists this long non-coding RNA (19516 nucleotides) under Homo sapiens (human). RNAcentral's name for it is "long non-coding RNA NONHSAT223415.1". The stretch from base 11579 to 11704 matches the Rfam family "X-chromosome inactivation gene exon 4". Lineage: Eukaryota; Metazoa; Chordata; Mammalia; Primates; Hominidae. The record is from RNAcentral.
CCCUUCAGUUCUUAAAGCGCUGCAAUUCGCUGCUGCAGCCAUAUUUCUUACUCUCUCGGGGCUGGAAGCUUCCUGACUGAAGAUCUCUCUGCACUUGGGGUUCUUUCUAGAACAUUUUCUAGUCCCCCAACACCCUUUAUGGCGUAUUUCUUUAAAAAAAUCACCUAAAUUCCAUAAAAUAUUUUUUUAAAUUCUAUACUUUCUCCUAGUGUCUUCUUGACACGUCCUCCAUAUUUUUUUAAAGAAAGUAUUUGGAAUAUUUUGAGGCAAUUUUUAAUAUUUAAGGAAUUUUUCUUUGGAAUCAUUUUUGGUUGACAUCUCUGUUUUUUGUGGAUCAGUUUUUUACUCUUCCACUCUCUUUUCUAUAUUUUGCCCAUCGGGGCUGCGGAUACCUGGUUUUAUUAUUUUUUCUUUGCCCAACGGGGCCGUGGAUACCUGCCUUUUAAUUCUUUUUUAUUCGCCCAUCGGGGCCGCGGAUACCUGCUUUUUAUUUUUUUUUCCUUAGCCCAUCGGGGUAUCGGAUACCUGCUGAUUCCCUUCCCCUCUGAACCCCCAACACUCUGGCCCAUCGGGGUGACGGAUAUCUGCUUUUUAAAAAUUUUCUUUUUUUGGCCCAUCGGGGCUUCGGAUACCUGCUUUUUUUUUUUUUAUUUUUCCUUGCCCAUCGGGGCCUCGGAUACCUGCUUUAAUUUUUGUUUUUCUGGCCCAUCGGGGCCGCGGAUACCUGCUUUGAUUUUUUUUUUUCAUCGCCCAUCGGUGCUUUUUAUGGAUGAAAAAAUGUUGGUUUUGUGGGUUGUUGCACUCUCUGGAAUAUCUACACUUUUUUUUGCUGCUGAUCAUUUGGUGGUGUGUGAGUGUACCUACCGCUUUGGCAGAGAAUGACUCUGCAGUUAAGCUAAGGGCGUGUUCAGAUUGUGGAGGAAAAGUGGCCGCCAUUUUAGACUUGCCGCAUAACUCGGCUUAGGGCUAGUCGUUUGUGCUAAGUUAAACUAGGGAGGCAAGAUGGAUGAUAGCAGGUCAGGCAGAGGAAGUCAUGUGCAUUGCAUGAGCUAAACCUAUCUGAAUGAAUUGAUUUGGGGCUUGUUAGGAGCUUUGCGUGAUUGUUGUAUCGGGAGGCAGUAAGAAUCAUCUUUUAUCAGUACAAGGGACUAGUUAAAAAUGGAAGGUUAGGAAAGACUAAGGUGCAGGGCUUAAAAUGGCGAUUUUGACAUUGCGGCAUUGCUCAGCAUGGCGGGCUGUGCUUUGUUAGGUUGUCCAAAAUGGCGGAUCCAGUUCUGUCGCAGUGUUCAAGUGGCGGGAAGGCCACAUCAUGAUGGGCGAGGCUUUGUUAAGUGGUUAGCAUGGUGGUGGACAUGUGCGGUCACACAGGAAAAGAUGGCGGCUGAAGGUCUUGCCGCAGUGUAAAACAUGGCGGGCCUCUUUGUCUUUGCUGUGUGCUUUUCGUGUUGGGUUUUGCCGCAGGGACAAUAUGGCAGGCGUUGUCAUAUGUAUAUCAUGGCUUUUGUCACGUGGACAUCAUGGCGGGCUUGCCGCAUUGUUAAAGAUGGCGGGUUUUGCCGCCUAGUGCCACGCAGAGCGGGAGAAAAGGUGGGAUGGACAGUGCUGGAUUGCUGCAUAACCCAACCAAUUAGAAAUGGGGGUGGAAUUGAUCACAGCCAAUUAGAGCAGAAGAUGGAAUUAGACUGAUGACACACUGUCCAGCUACUCAGCGAAGACCUGGGUGAAUUAGCAUGGCACUUCGCAGCUGUCUUUAGCCAGUCAGGAGAAAGAAGUGGAGGGGCCACGUGUAUGUCUCCCAGUGGGCGGUACACCAGGUGUUUUCAAGGUCUUUUCAAGGACAUUUAGCCUUUCCACCUCUGUCCCCUCUUAUUUGUCCCCUCCUGUCCAGUGCUGCCUCUUGCAGUGCUGGAUAUCUGGCUGUGUGGUCUGAACCUCCCUCCAUUCCUCUGUAUUGGUGCCUCACCUAAGGCUAAGUAUACCUCCCCCCCCACCCCCCAACCCCCCCAACUCCCCACCCCCACCCCCCACCCCCCACCUCCCCACCCCCCUACCCCCCUACCCCCCUACCCCCCUCUGGUCUGCCCUGCACUGCACUGUUGCCAUGGGCAGUGCUCCAGGCCUGCUUGGUGUGGACAUGGUGGUGAGCCGUGGCAAGGACCAGAAUGGAUCACAGAUGAUCGUUGGCCAACAGGUGGCAGAAGAGGAAUUCCUGCCUUCCUCAAGAGGAACACCUACCCCUUGGCUAAUGCUGGGGUCGGAUUUUGAUUUAUAUUUAUCUUUUGGAUGUCAGUCAUACAGUCUGAUUUUGUGGUUUGCUAGUGUUUGAAUUUAAGUCUUAAGUGACUAUUAUAGAAAUGUAUUAAGAGGCUUUAUUUGUAGAAUUCACUUUAAUUACAUUUAAUGAGUUUUUGUUUUGAGUUCCUUAAAAUUCCUUAAAGUUUUUAGCUUCUCAUUACAAAUUCCUUAACCUUUUUUUGGCAGUAGAUAGUCAAAGUCAAAUCAUUUCUAAUGUUUUAAAAAUGUGCUGGUCAUUUUCUUUGAAAUUGACUUAACUAUUUUCCUUUGAAGAGUCUGUAGCACAGAAACAGUAAAAAAUUUAACUUCAUGACCUAAUGUAAAAAAGAGUGUUUGAAGGUUUACACAGGUCCAGGCCUUGCUUUGUUCCCAUCCUUGAUGCUGCACUAAUUGACUAAUCACCUACUUAUCAGACAGGAAACUUGAAUUGCUGUGGUCUGGUGUCCUCUAUUCAGACUUAUUAUAUUGGAGUAUUUCAAUUUUUCGUUGUAUCCUGCCUGCCUAGCAUCCAGUUCCUCCCCAGCCCUGCUCCCAGCAAACCCCUAGUCUAGCCCCAGCCCUACUCCCACCCCGCCCCAGCCCUGCCCCAGCCCCAGUCCCCUAACCCCCCAGCCCUAGCCCCAGUCCCAGUCCUAGUUCCUCAGUCCCGCCCAGCUUCUCUCGAAAGUCACUCUAAUUUUCAUUGAUUCAGUGCUCAAAAUAAGUUGUCCAUUGCUUAUCCUAUUAUACUGGGAUAUUCCGUUUACCCUUGGCAUUGCUGAUCUUCAGUACUGACUCCUUGACCAUUUUCAGUUAAUGCAUACAAUCCCAUUUGUCUGUGAUCUCAGGACAAAGAAUUUCCUUACUCGGUACGUUGAAGUUAGGGAAUGUCAAUUGAGAGCUUUCUAUCAGAGCAUUAUUGCCCACAAUUUGAGUUACUUAUCAUUUUCUCGAUCCCCUGCCCUUAAAGGAGAAACCAUUUCUCUGUCAUUGCUUCUGUAGUCACAGUCCCAAUUUUGAGUAGUGAUCUUUUCUUGUGUACUGUGUUGGCCACCUAAAACUCUUUGCAUUGAGUAAAAUUCUAAUUGCCAAUAAUCCUACCCAUUGGAUUAGACAGCACUCUGAACCCCAUUUGCAUUCAGCAGGGGGUCGCAGACAACCCGUCUUUUGUUGGACAGUUAAAAUGCUCAGUCCCAAUUGUCAUAGCUUUGCCUAUUAAACAAAGGCACCCUACUGCGCUUUUUGCUGUGCUUCUGGAGAAUCCUGCUGUUCUUGGACAAUUAAAGAACAAAGUAGUAAUUGCUAAUUGUCUCACCCAUUAAUCAUGAAGACUACCAGUCGCCCUUGCAUUUGCCUUGAGGCAGCGCUGACUACCUGAGAUUUAAGAGUUUCUUAAAUUAUUGAGUAAAAUCCCAAUUAUCCAUAGUUCUGUUAGUUACACUAUGGCCUUUGCAAACAUCUUUGCAUAACAGCAGUGGGACUGACUCAUUCUUAGAGCCCCUUCCCUUGGAAUAUUAAUGGAUACAAUAGUAAUUAUUCAUGGUUCUGCGUAACAGAGAAGACCCACUUAUGUGUAUGCCUUUAUCAUUGCUCCUAGAUAGUGUGAACUACCUACCACCUUGCAUUAAUAUGUAAAACACUAAUUGCCCAUAGUCCCACUCAUUAGUCUAGGAUGUCCUCUUUGCCAUUGCUGCUGAGUUCUGACUACCCAAGUUUCCUUCUCUUAAACAGUUGAUAUGCAUAAUUGCAUAUAUUCAUGGUUCUGUGCAAUAAAAAUGGAUUCUCACCCCAUCCCACCUUCUGUGGGAUGUUGCUAACGAGUGCAGAUUAUUCAAUAACAGCUCUUGAACAGUUAAUUUGCACAGUUGCAAUUGUCCAGAGUCCUGUCCAUUAGAAAGGGACUCUGUAUCCUAUUUGCACGCUACAAUGUGGGCUGAUCACCCAAGGACUCUUCUUGUGCAUUGAUGUUCAUAAUUGUAUUUGUCCACGAUCUUGUGCACUAACCCUUCCACUCCCUUUGUAUUCCAGCAGGGGACCCUUACUACUCAAGACCUCUGUACUAGGACAGUUUAUGUGCACAAUCCUAAUUGAUUAGAACUGAGUCUUUUAUAUCAAGGUCCCUGCAUCAUCUUUGCUUUACAUCAAGAGGGUGCUGGUUACCUAAUGCCCCUCCUCCAGAAAUUAUUGAUGUGCAAAAUGCAAUUUCCCUAUCUGCUGUUAGUCUGGGGUCUCAUCCCCUCAUAUUCCUUUUGUCUUACAGCAGGGGGUACUUGGGACUGUUAAUGCGCAUAAUUGCAAUUAUGGUCUUUUCCAUUAAAUUAAGAUCCCAACUGCUCACACCCUCUUAGCAUUACAGUAGAGGGUGCUAAUCACAAGGACAUUUCUUUUGUACUGUUAAUGUGCUACUUGCAUUUGUCCCUCUUCCUGUGCACUAAAGACCCCACUCACUUCCCUAGUGUUCAGCAGUGGAUGACCUCUAGUCAAGACCUUUGCACUAGGAUAGUUAAUGUGAACCAUGGCAACUGAUCACAACAAUGUCUUUCAGAUCAGAUCCAUUUUAUCCUCCUUGUUUUACAGCAAGGGAUAUUAAUUACCUAUGUUACCUUUCCCUGGGACUAUGAAUGUGCAAAAUUCCAAUGUUCAUGGUCUCUCCCUUUAAACCUAUAUUCUACCCCUUUUACAUUAUAGAAAGGGAUGCUGGAAACCCAGAGUCCUUCUCUUGGGACUCUUAAUGUGUAUUUCUAAUUAUCCAUGACUCUUAAUGUGCAUAUUUUCAAUUGCCUAAUUGAUUUCAAUUGUCUAAGACAUUUCAAAUGUCUAAUUGAUUAGAACUGAGUCUUUUAUAUCAAGCUAAUAUCUAGCUUUUAUAUCAAGCUAAUAUCUUGACUUCUCAGCAUCAUAGAAGGGGGUACUGAUUUCCUAAAGUCUUUCUUGAAUUUCUAUUAUGCAAAAUUGCCCUGAGGCCGGGUGUGGUGGCUCACACCUGUAAUCCCAGCACUUUGGGAGGCUGAGGUGGGAAGAUCCCUUACUGCCAGGAGUUUGAGACCAGCCUGGCCAACAUUAAAAAAAAAAAAAAGUAAGACAAUUGCCCUGGAAUCCCAUCCCCCUCACACCUCCUUGGCAAAGCAGCAGGAGUGCUAACUAGCUAGUGCUUCUUCUCUUAUACUGCUUAAAUGCGCAUAAUUAGCAGUAGUUGAUGUGCCCCUAUGUUAGAGUAGAAUCCCGCUUCCUUGCUCCAUUUGCAUUACUGCAGGAGCUUCUAACUAGCCUGAAUUCACUCUCUUGGACUGUUAAUGUGCAUACUUAUAUUUGCUGCUGUACUUUUUUACCAUGUAAGGACCCCACCCACUGUAUUUACAUCCCAGCUGGAAGUACCUACUACUUAAGACCCUUAGACUAGUAAAGUUAGCGUGCAUAAUCUUAGGUGUUAUAUACACAUUUUCAGUUGCAUACAGUUGUGCCUUUUAUCAGGACUCCUGUACUUAUCAAAGCAGAGAGUGCUAAUCAAUAUUAAGCCCUUCUCUUCGAACUGUAGAUGGCAUGUAAUUGCAGUUGUCAAUGGUCCUUCAAUUAGACUUGGGUUUCUGACCUAUCACACCCUCUUUGCUUUAUUGCAUGGGGUACUAUUCACUUAAGGCCCCUUUCUCAAACUGUUAAUGUGCCUAAUGACAAUUACAUCAGUAUCCUUCCUUUUGAAGGACAGCAUGGUUGGUGACACCUAAGGCCCCAUUUCUUGGCCUCCCAAUAUGUGUGAUUGUAUUUGUCGAGGUUGCUAUGCACUAGAGAAGGAAAGUGCUCCCCUCAUCCCCACUUUUCCCUUCCAGCAGGAAGUGCCCACCCCAUAAGACCCUUUUAUUUGGAGAGUCUAGGUGCACAAUUGUAAGUGACCACAAGCAUGCAUCUUGGACAUUUAUGUGCGUAAUCGCACACUGCUCAUUCCAUGUGAAUAAGGUCCUACUCUCCGACCCCUUUUGCAAUACAGAAGGGUUGCUGAUAACGCAGUCCCCUUUUCUUGGCAUGUUGUGUGUGAUUAUAAUCGUCUGGGAUCCUAUGCACUAGAAAAGGAGGGUCCUCUCCACAUACCUCAGUCUCACCUUUCCCUUCCAGCAGGGAGUGCCCACUCCAUAAGACUCUCACAUUUGGACAGUCAAGGUGCGUAAUUGUUAAGUGAACACAACCAUGCACCUUAGACAUGGAUUUGCAUAACUACACACAGCUCAACCUAUCUGAAUAAAAUCCUACUCUCAGACCCCUUUUGCAGUACAGCAGGGGUGCUGAUCACCAAGGCCCUUUUUCCUGGCCUGGUAUGCGUGUGAUUAUGUUUGUCCCGGUUCCUGUGUAUUAGACAUGGAAGCCUCCCCUGCCACACUCCACCCCCAAUCUUCCUUUCCCUUCCGGCAGGGAGUGCCCUCUCCAUAAGACGCUUACGUUUGGACAAUCAAGGUGCACAGUUGUAAGUGACCACAGGCAUACACCUUGGACAUUAAUGUGCAUAACCACUUUGCCCAUUCCAUCUGAAUAAGGUCCUACUCUCAGACCCCUUUUGCAGUACAGCAGGGGUGCUGAUCACCAAGGCCCCUUUUCUUGGCCUGUUAUGUGCGUGAUUAUAUUUGUCUGGGUUCCUGUGUAUUAGACAAGGAAGCCUUCCCCCCGCCCCCACCCCCACUCCCAGUCUUCCUUUCCCUUCCAGCAGGGAGUGCCCCCUCCAUAAGAUCAUUACAUUUGGACAAUCAAGGUGCACAAUUAUAAGUGACCACAGCCAUGCACCUUGGACAUUAUUGGACAUUAAUGUGCGUAACUGCACAUGGCCCAUCCCAUCUGAAUAAGGUCCUACUCUCAGAUGCCCUUUGCAGUACAGCAGGGGUACUGAAUCACCAAGGCCCUUUUUCUUGGCCUGUUAUGUGUGUGAUUAUAUUUAUCCCAGUUUCUGUGUAAUAGACAUGAAAGCCUCCCCUGCCACACCCCACCUCCAAUCUUCCUUUCCCUUCCACCAGGGAGUGUCCACUCCAUAUACCCUUACAUUUGGACAAUCAAGGUGCACAAUUGUAAGUGAGCAUAGGCACUCACCUUGGACAUGAAUGUGCAUAACUGCACAUGGCCCAUCCCAUCUGAAUAAGGUCCUACUCUCAGACCCUUUUUGCAGUACAGCAGGGGUGCUGAUCACCAAGGCCCCUUUUCCUGGCCUGUUAUGUGUGUGAUUAUAUUUGUUCCAGUUCCUGUGUAAUAGACAUGGAAGCCUCCCCUGCCACACUCCACCCCCAAUCUUCCUUUCCCUUCUGGCAGGAAGUACCCGCUCCAUAAGACCCUUACAUUUGGACAGUCAAGGUGCACAAUUGUAUGUGACCACAACCAUGCACCUUGGACAUAAAUGUGUGUAACUGCACAUGGCCCAUCCCAUCUGAAUAAGGUCCUACUCUCAGACCCCUUUUGCAGUACAGUAGGUGUGCUGAUAACCAAGGCCCCUCUUCCUGGCCUGUUAACGUAUGUGAUUAUAUUUGUCUGGGUUCCAGUGUAUAAGACAUGGAAGCCUCCCCUGCCCCACCCCACCCUCAAUCUUCCUUUCCCUUCUGGCAGGGAGUGCCAGCUCCAUAAGAACCUUACAUUUGGACAGUCAAGGUGCACAAUUCUAAGUGACCGCAGCCAUGCACCUUGGUCAAUAAUGUGUGUAACUGCACACGGCCUAUCUCAUCUGAAUAAGGCCUUACUCUCAGACCCCUUUUGCAGUACAGCAGGGGUGCUGAUAACCAAGGCCCAUUUUCCUGGCCUGUUAUGUGUGUGAUUAUAUUUGUCCAGGUUUCUGUGUACUAGACAAGGAAGCCUCCUCUGCCCCAUCCCAUCUACGCAUAAUCUUUCUUUUCCUCCCAGCAGGGAGUGCUCACUCCAUAAGACCCUUACAUUUGGACAAUCAAGGUGCACAAUUGUAAGUGACCACAACCAUGCAUCUUGGAAAUUUAUGUGCAUAACUGCACAUGGCUUAUCCUAUUUGAAUAAAGUCCUACUCUCAGACCCCCUUUGCAGUAUAGCUGGGGUGCUGAUCACUGAGGCCUCUUUGCUUGGCUUGUCUAUAUUCUUGUGUACUAGAUAAGGGCACCUUCUCAUGGACUCCCUUUGCUUUUCAACAAGGAGUACCCACUACUUUUUAAGAUUCUUAUAUUUGUCCAAAGUACAUGGUUUUAAUUGACCACAACAAUGUCCCUUGGACAUUAAUGUAUGUAAUCACCACAUGGUUCAUCCUAAUUAAACAAAGUUCUACCUUCUCACCCUCCAUUUGCAGUAUACCAGGGUUGCUGACCCCCUAAGUCCCCUUUUCUUGGCUUGUUGACAUGCAUAAUUGCAUUUAUGUUGGUUCUUGUGCCCUAGACAAGGAUGCCCCACCUCUUUUCAAUAGUGGGUGCCCACUCCUUAUGAUCUUUACAUUUGAACAGUUAAUGUGAAUAAUUGCAGUUGUCCACAACCCUAUCACUUCUAGGACCAUUAUACCUCUUUUGCAUUACUGUGGGGUAUACUGUUUCCCUCCAAGGCCCCUUCUGGUGGACUAUCAACAUAUAAUUGAAAUUUUCUUUUGUCUUUGUCAGUAGAUUAAGGUCAUACCCCAUCACCUUUCCUUUGUAGUACAACAGGGUGUCCUGAUCAACCAAAGUCCUGUUGUUUUGGACUGUUAAUAUGUGCAAUUACAUUUGCUCCUGAUCUGUGCACUAGAUAAGGAUCCUACCUACUUUCUUAGUGUUUUUAGCAGGUAGUGCCCACUACUCAAGACUGUCACUUGGAAUGUUCAUGUGCACAAACUCAAUUCUCUAAGCAUGUUCCUGUACCACCUUUGCUUUAGAGCAGGGGGAUGAUAUUCACUAAGUGCCCCUUCUUUUGGACUUAAUAUGCAUUAAUGCAAUUGUCCACCUCUUCUUUUAGACUAAGAGUUGAUCUCCACAUAUUCCCCUUGCAUCAGGGGCAUGUUAAUUAUGAAUGAACCCUUUUCUUUUAAUAUUAAUGUCAUAAUUGUAUUUGUGGACCUGUGUAGGAGAAAAAGACCCUAUGUUCCUCCCAUUACCCUUUGGAUUGCUGCUGAGAAGUGUUAACUACUCAUAAUCUCAGCUCUUGGACAAUUAAUAGCAUUAAUAACAAUUAUCAAGGGCACUGAUCAUUAGAUAAGACUCCUGCUUCCUCGUUGCUUACAUCGGGGGUACUGACCCACUAAGGCCCCUUGUACUGUUAAUGUGAAUAUUUGCAAUUAUAUAUGUCUCCUUCUGGUAGAGUGGGAUAUUAUGCCCUAGUAUCCCCUUUGCAUUACUGCAGGGGCUGCUGACUACUCAAAACUUCUCCUGGGACUGUUAAUAGGCACAAUGGCAGUUAUCAAUGGUUUUCUCCCUCCCUGACCUUGUUAAGCAAGCGCCCCACCCCACCCUUAGUUUCCCAUGGCAUAAUAAAGUAUAAGCAUUGGAGUAUUCCAUGCACUUGUCUAUCAAACAGUGGUCCAUACUCCCAACCCUUUUGCAUUGCGCCAGUGUGUAAAAUCACAGGUAGCCAUGGUGUCAUGCUUUAUAUACGAAGUCUUCCCUCUCUCUGCCCCUUGUGUGCCCUUGGCCCCUUUUUACAGACUAUUGCUCACAAUCUCAGGUGUCCAUAUUUGCAGCUAUUAGGUAAGAUUGUGCUGUCUCCCUCUUCCCUUCCCUCUGCCCUGCCCCUUUUGCCUCUUUGCUGGGUAAUGUUGACCAGACAAGGCCCUUUCUCUUGGACUUAAACAAUUCUCAGUUGCACUUUCCUUGGUCCCACCCAUUAUACAUGAACCCCUCUACUUCCUUUCGCAUUGCUUCUGAGUAUGCUGACUACCCAAAGCCCCUUCUGUGUUAUUAAUAAACACAGUACUGAUUGUCCCAUUUUUCAGCCCAUCAGUCCAAGAUCUCCCUACCACUUUGGUGUGUUGGUGCAGUGUUGACUAUGAAAAGCAGGCCUGAACUAGGUGGAUAAGCCUUCACUCAUUUUCUUUCAUUUAUUAAUGAUCCUAGUUUCAAUUAUUGUCAGAUUCUGGGGACAAGAACCAUUCUUGCCCACCUGUGUUACUGCUUUACUGUGCAAAAUACUGAAGGCAAGUCAGACCCAGGGAGCUGGAUUGCCAUCCUUUAUUUUGUGUUUCCAGUGUACACUAUAAAAUUGUCUCCCCAGGAAGGAAGGUUGGCACUUUCUCUGCAUUCUUCUUUCCAGAGCAGAUUGCCUGGUUAAGAAUCUCUUGUUGUCCCCUUUGUAUAUUGUUAUUGUAAAGUGCCAAAUGCCAGGAUACAGCCAGAAAAAUUGCUUAUUAUUAUUAAAAAAAUUUUUUUAAGAAAGACAUCUGGAUUGUAGGGUGGACUCGAUAACCUGGUCAUUAUUUUUUUGAAGCCAAAAUAUCCAUUUAUACUAUGUACCUGGUGACCAGUGUCUCUCAUUUUAACUGAGGGUGGUGGGUCUGUGGAUAGAACACUGACUCUUGCUAUUUUAAUAUCAAAGAUAUUCUAGAGUGGAACUCUUAAGACCAGUAUCUUUGUGUGGGCUUUACCAGCAUUCACUUUUAGAAAAACUACCUAAAUUUUAUAAUCCUUUAAUUUCUUCAUCUGGAGCACCUGCCCCUACUUAUUUCAAGAAGAUUGCAGUAAAACGAUUAAAUGAGGGAACAUAUGCAGAGGUGCUUUUAAAAAGCAUAUGCCACCUUUUUUAUUAAUUAUUAUAUAAAAUGAAGCAUUUAAUUAUAGUAAUAAUUUGAAGUAGUUUGAAGUACCACACUGAGGUGAGGACUUAAAAAUGAUAAGACGAGUUCCCUAUUUUAUAAGAAAAAUAAGCCAAAAUUAAAUAUUCUUUUGGAUAUAAAUUUCAACAGUGAGAUAGCUGCCUAGUGGAAAUGAAUAAUAUCCCAGCCACUAGUGUACAGGGUGUUUUGUGGCACAGGAUUAUGUAAUAUGGAACUGCUCAAGCAAAUAACUAGUCAUCACAACAGCAGUUCUUUGUAAUAACUGAAAAAGAAUAUUGUUUCUCGGAGAAGGAUGUCAAAAGAUCGGCCCAGCUCAGGGAGCAGUUUGCCCUACUAGCUCCUCGGACAGCUGUAAAGAAGAGUCUCUGGCUCUUUAGAAUACGGAUCCCAUUGAAGAUACCACGCUGCAUGUGUCCUUAGUAGUCAUGUCUCCUUAGGCUCCUCUUGGACAUUCUGAGCAUGUGAGACCUGAGGACUGCAAACAGCUAUAAGAGGCUCCAAAUUAAUCAUAUCUUUCCCUUUGAGAAUCUGGCCAAGCUCCAGCUAAUCUACUUGGAUGGGUUGCCAGCUAUCUGGAGAAAAAGAUCUUCCUCAGAAGAAUAGGCUUGUUGUUUUACAGUGUUAGUGAUCCAUUCCCUUUGACGAUCCCUAGGUGGAGAUGGGGCAUGAGGAUCCUCCAGGGGAAAAGCUCACUACCACUGGGCAACAACCCUAGGUCAGGAGGUUCUGUCAAGAUACUUUCCUGGUCCCAGAUAGGAAGAUAAAGUCUCAAAAACAACCACCACACGUCAAUGGUGUCUCUAGUGACUCAUCAAGUGAUAUUUGGCAAGACAUUUUCCCAUUUAUGCCAGUUUCCUAUUCUGUUGAAUGAGGAAAUUUUCUCUCUAAAGACCUAAAAGUUUUGACUUUAUAGGUUUCAAAGUUCUGUGGAAACAUUUUCUAUUGCUUAUUAAUUUGAAUCUUAUGUAACUCUAGCACAGUACUCAAUAUUUAUGGCAUUUACAUGGUUUAUCUCAUGUUUUUUUAUAGCUCUUCAUUGUUCCUAUCUGCCAAAUCAUUAUACUUCCUACAAGCAGUGCAGAGAGCUGAGUCUUCAGCAGGUCCAAGAAAUUUGAACACACUGAAGGAAGUCAGCCUUCCCACCUGAAGAUCAACAUGCCUGGCACUCUAGCACUUGAGGAUAGCUGAAUGAGUGUGUAUUUCUUUGUCUCUUUCUUUCUUGUCUUUGCUCUUUGUUCUCUAUCUAAAGUGUGUCUUACCCAUUUCCAUGUUUCUCUUGCUAAUUUCUUUCGUGUGUGCCUUUGCCUCAUUUUCUCUUUUUGUUCACAAGAGUGGUCUGUGUCUUGUCUUAGACAUAUCUCUCAUUUUUCAUUUUGUUGCUAUUUCUCUUUGCUCUCCUAGAUGUGGCUCUUCUUUCACGCUUUAUUUCAUGUCUCCUUUUUGGGUCACAUGCUGUGUGCUUUUUGUCCUUUUCUUGUUCUGUCUACCUCUCCUUUCUCUGCCUACCUCUCUUUUCUCUUUGUGAACUGUGAUUAUUUGUUACCCCUUCCCCUUCUCGUUCGUUUUAAAUUUCACCUUUUUUCUGAGUCUGGCCUCCUUUCUGCUGUUUCUACUUUUUAUCUCACAUUUCUCAUUUCUGCAUUUCCUUUCUGCCUCUCUUGGGCUAUUCUCUCUCUCCUCCCCUGCGUGCCUCAGCAUCUCUUGCUGUUUGUGAUUUUCUAUUUCAGUAUUAAUCUCUGUUGGCUUGUAUUUGUUCUCUGCUUCUUCCCUUUCUACUCACCUUUGAGUAUUUCAGCCUCUUCAUGAAUCUAUCUCCCUCUCUUUGAUUUCAUGUAAUCUCUCCUUAAAUAUUUCUUUGCAUAUGUGGGCAAGUGUACGUGUGUGUGUGUCAUGUGUGGCAGAGGGGCUUCCUAACCCCUGCCUGAUAGGUGCAGAACGUCGGCUAUCAGAGCAAGCAUUGUGGAGCGGUUCCUUAUGCCAGGCUGCCAUGUGAGAUGAUCCAAGACCAAAACAAGGCCCUAGACUGCAGUAAAACCCAGAACUCAAGUAGGGCAGAAGGUGGAAGGCUCAUAUGGAUAGAAGGCCCAAAGUAUAAGACAGAUGGUUUGAGACUUGAGACCCGAGGACUAAGAUGGAAAGCCCAUGUUCCAAGAUAGAUAGAAGCCUCAGGCCUGAAACCAACAAAAGCCUCAAGAGCCAAGAAAACAGAGGGUGGCCUGAAUUGGACCGAAGGCCUGAGUUGGAUGGAAGUCUCAAGGCUUGAGUUAGAAGUCUUAAGACCUGGGACAGGACACAUGGAAGGCCUAAGAACUGAGACUUGUGACACAAGGCCAACGACCUAAGAUUAGCCCAGGGUUGUAGCUGGAAGACCUACAACCCAAGGAUGGAAGGCCCCUGUCACAAAGCCUACCUAGAUGGAUAGAGGACCCAAGCGAAAAAGGUAUCUCAAGACUAACGGCCGGAAUCUGGAGGCCCAUGACCCAGAACCCAGGAAGGAUAGAAGCUUGAAGACCUGGGGAAAUCCCAAGAUGAGAACCCUAAACCCUACCUCUUUUCUAUUGUUUACACUUCUUACUCUUAGAUAUUUCCAGUUCUCCUGUUUAUCUUUAAGCCUGAUUCUUUUGAGAUGUACUUUUUGAUGUUGCCGGUUACCUUUAGAUUGACAGUAUUAUGCCUGGGCCAGUCUUGAGCCAGCUUUAAAUCACAGCUUUUACCUAUUUGUUAGGCUAUAGUGUUUUGUAAACUUCUGUUUCUAUUCACAUCUUCUCCACUUGAGAGAGACACCAAAAUCCAGUCAGUAUCUAAUCUGGCUUUUGUUAACUUCCCUCAGGAGCAGACAUUCAUAUAGGUGAUACUGUAUUUCAGUCCUUUCUUUUGACCCCAGAAGCCCUAGACUGAGAAGAUAAAAUGGUCAGGUUGUUGGGGAAAAAAAAGUGCCAGGCUCUCUAGAGAAAAAUGUGAAGAGAUGCUCCAGGCCAAUGAGAAGAAUUAGACAAGAAAUACACAGAUGUGCCAGACUUCUGAGAAGCACCUGCCAGCAACAGCUUCCUUCUUUGAGCUUAGGUGAGCAGGAUUCUGGGGUUUGGGAUUUCUAGUGAUGGUUAUGGAAAGGGUGACUGUGCCUGGGACAAAGCGAGGUCCCAAGGGGACAGCCUGAACUCCCUGCUCAUAGUAGUGGCCAAAUAAUUUGGUGGACUGUGCCAACGCUACUCCUGGGUUUAAUACCCAUCUCUAGGCUUAAAGAUGAGAGAACCUGGGACUGUUGAGCAUGUUUAAUACUUUCCUUGAUUUUUUUCUUCCUGUUUAUGUGGGAAGUUGAUUUAAAUGACUGAUAAUGUGUAUGAAAGCACUGUAAAACAUAAGAGAAAAACCAAUUAGUGUAUUGGCAAUCAUGCAGUUAACAUUUGAAAGUGCAGUGUAAAUUGUGAAGCAUUAUGUAAAUCAGGGGUCCACAGUUUUUCUGUAAGGGGUCAAAUCAUAAAUACUUUAGACUGUGGGCCAUAUGGUUUCUGUUACAUAUUUGUUUUUUAAACAACGUUUUUAUAAGGUCAAAAUCAUUCUUAGUUUUUGAGCCAAUUGGAUUUGGCCUGCUGUUCAUAGCUUACCACCCCCUGAUGUAUUAUUUGUUAUUCAGAGAAAAUUUCUGAAUACUACUAGUUUCCUUUUCUGUGCCUGUCCCUGUGCUAGGCACUAAAAAUGCAAUGAUUAUUGAUAUCUAGGUGACCUGAAAAAAAAUAGUGAAUGUGCUUUGUAAACUGUAAAGCACUUGUAUUCUACUGUGAUAAGCGUUGUGGAUACAAAGAAAGGAGCAAGCAUAAAAAAGUGCUCUUUCAAAAGGAUAUAGUACUAUGCAGACACAAGGAAUUGUUUGAUAAAUGAAUAAAUUAUAUGUAUAUUUGAGGCCAAUUUGUGUUUGCUGCUCUGGUAAUUUUGAGUAAAAAUGCAGUAUUCCAGGUAUCAGAAACGAAAACACAUGGAAACUGCUUUUAAACUUUAAAAUAUACUGAAAACAUAAGGGACUAAGCUUGUUGUGGUCACCUAUAAUGUGCCAGAUACCAUGCUGGGUGCUAGAGCUACCAAAGGGGGAAAAGUAUUCUCAUAGAACAAAAAAUUUCAGAAAGGUGCAUAUUAAAGUGCUUUGUAAACUAAAGCAUGAUACAAAUGUCAAUGGGCUACAUAUUUAUGAAUGAAUGAAUGGAUGAAUGAAUAUUAAGUGCCUCUUACAUACCAGCUAUUUUGGGUACUGUAAAAUACAAGAUUAAUUCUCCUAUGUAAUAAGAGGAAAGUUUAUCCUCUAUACUAUUCAGAUGUAAGGAAUGAUAUAUUGCUUAAUUUUAAACAAUCAAGACUUUACUGGUGAGGUUAAGUUAAAUUAUUACUGAUACAUUUUUCCAGGUAACCAGGAAAGAGCUAGUAUGAGGAAAUGAAGUAAUAGAUGUGAGAUCCAGACCGAAAGUCACUUAAUUCAGCUUGCGAAUGUGCUUUCUAAAUUAUAAAGCACUUGUAAAUGAAAAAUUUGAUGCUUUCUGUAUGAAUAAAACUUUCUGUAAGCUAGGUAUUGUCUCUACAAAAUUCUCAUUGUAUAGUUAAACCACAGUGAGAAGGGUUCUAUAAGUAGUUAUACAAACCAAGGGUUUAAAUACCUGUUAAAUAGAUCAAUUUUGAUUGCCUACUAUGUGAACUCACUGUUAAAGGCACUGAAAAUUUAUCAUAUUUCAUUUAGCCACAGCCAAAAAUAAGGCAAUACCUAUGUUAGCAUUUUGUGAACUCUAAGGCACCAUAUAAAUGUAACUGUUGAUUUUCUCACUUGGUGCUGGGUACUAGGUUUAUAAAAUUGUAUGAUAGUUAUUAUAUUGUGCAAAUAAAGUAGGAAAAUUUGAAUAACAAUGAUUAUCUUUUGAAUACGCAUACGCAAGGGAUUGGUUGUCUGAAGAAUGCCACUAUAGUAGUUAUCUAUUGUGUGCCAAUCUCAUUGCUAGGCAUUGGGGAUGCAAAGAUAAACCAUCUUUAUUGUGUCUUGGGUAGCAGAAGAAAAUAUGUGUAAAAUCAAUUUAUAAUUUGUAAACUGCCACCCAUAUAUAAGCUAUAUCUGCUGAAUGAUCAUUGAUUACUCUUAUCCUUAGAGAUAACAACUGGGGGCACAAACAUUUAUUAUCAUUAUUGAACCUACAACAGAGAUCUAUGUGUAGAUUUACAAAGCCUACAGUUCUAUACAGAUAGGAAUGAACUAUUGGCUUACUGAAUGGUGAUUACUUUCUGUGGGGCUCGGAACUACAUGCCCUAGGAUAUAAAAAUGAUGUUAUCAUUAUAGAGUGCUCACAGAAGGAAAUGAAGUAAUAUAGGUGUGAGAUCCAGACCAAAAGUCAUUUAACAAGUUUAUUCAGUGAUGAAAACAUGGGACAAAUGGACUAAUAUAAGGCAGUGUACUAAGCUGAGUAGAGAGAUAAAGUCCUGUCCAGAAGAUACAUGCUUCCUGGCCUGAUUGAGGAGAUGGAAAAUUUUUGCAAAAAACAAGGUGUUGUGGUCUUCCAUCCAGUUUCUUAAGUGCUGAUGAUAAAAGUGAAUUAGACCCACCUUGACCUGGCCUACAGAAGUAAAGGAGUAAAAAUAAAUGCCUCAGGCGUGCUUUUUGAUUCAUUUGAUAAACAAAGCAUCUUUUAUGUGGAAUAUACCAUUCUGGGUCCUGAGGAUAAGAGAGAUGAGGGCAUUAGAUCACUGACAGCUGAAGAUAGAAGAACAUCUUUGGUUUGAUUGUUUAAAUAAUAUUUCAAUGCCUAUUCUCUGCAAGGUACUAUGUUUCGUAAAUUAAAUAGGUCUGGCCCAGAAGACCCACUCAAUUGCCUUUGAGAUUAAAAAAAAAAAAAAAAAGAAAGAAAAAUGCAAGUUUCUUUCAAAAUAAAGAGACAUUUUUCCUAGUUUCAGGAAUCCCCCAAAUCACUUCCUCAUUGGCUUAGUUUAAAGCCAGGAGACUGAUAAAAGGGCUCAGGGUUUGUUCUUUAAUUCAUUAACUAAACAUUCUGCUUUUAUUACAGUUAAAUGGUUCAAGAUGUAACAACUAGUUUUAAAGGUAUUUGCUCAUUGGUCUGGCUUAGAGACAGGAAGACAUAUGAGCAAUAAAAAAAAGAUUCUUUUGCAUUUACCAAUUUAGUAAAAAUUUAUUAAAACUGAAUAAAGUGCUGUUCUUAAGUGCUUGAAAGACGUAAACCAAAGUGCACUUUAUCUCAUUUAUCUUAUGGUGGAAACACAGGAACAAAUUCUCUAAGAGACUGUGUUUCUUUAGUUGAGAAGAAACUUCAUUGAGUAGCUGUGAUAUGUUCGAUACUAAGGAAAAACUAAACAGAUCACCUUUGACAUGCGUUGUAGAGUGGGAAUAAGAGAGGGCUUUUUAUUUUUUCGUUCAUACGAGUAUUGAUGAAGAUGAUACUAAAUGCUAAAUGAAAUAUAUCUGCUCCAAAAGGCAUUUAUUCUGACUUGGAGAUGCAACAAAAACACAAAAAUGGAAUGAAGUGAUACUCUUCAUCAAACAGAAGUGACUGUUAUCUCAACCAUUUUGUUAAAUCCUAAACAGAAAACAAAAAAAAUCAUGACGAAAAGACACUUGCUUAUUAAUUGGCUUGGAAAGUAGAAUAUAGGAGAAAGGUUACUGUUUAUUUUUUUUCAUGUAUUCAUUCAUUCUACAAAUAUAUUCGGGUGCCAAUAGGUACUUGGUAUAAGGUUUUUGGCCCCAGAGACAUGGGAAAAAAAUGCAUGCCUUCCCAGAGAAUGCCUAAUACUUUCCUUUUGGCUUGUUUUCUUGUUAGGGGCAUGGCUUAGUCCCUAAAUAACAUUGUGUGGUUUAAUUCCUACUCCGUAUCUCUUCUACCACUCUGGCCACUACGAUAAGCAGGUAGCUGGGUUUUGUAGUGAGCUUGCUCCUUAAGUUACAGGAACUCUCCUUAUAAUAGACACUUCAUUUUCCUAGUCCAUCCCUCAUGAAAAAUGACUGACCACUGCUGGGCAGCAGGAGGGAUGAUGACCAACUAAUUCCCAAACCCCAGUCUCAUUGGUACCAGCCUUGGGGAACCACCUACACUUGAGCCACAAUUGGUUUUGAAGUGCAUUUACAAGGUUUGUCUAUUUUCAGUUCUUUACUUUUUACAUGCUGACACAUACAUACACUGCCUAAAUAGAUCUCUUUCAGAAACAAUCCUCAGAUAACGCAUAGCAAAAUGGAGAUGGAGACAUGAUUUCUCAUGCAACAGCUUCUCUAAUUAUACCUUAGAAAUGUUCUCCUUUUUAUCAUCAAAUCUGCUCAAGAAGGGCUUUUUAUAGUAGAAUAAUAUCAGUGGAUGAAAACAGCUUAACAUUUUACCAUGCUUAAGUUUUAAGAAUAAAAUAAAAAUUGGAAAUAAUUGGCCAAAAUUGAAAGGAAAAAUUUUUUUAAAAUUUCUCUAAAUGUAGGCCUGGCUGGGCUUUGACCUUUUCCGUUUUUAAAUCACUCACAGAGGGUGGGACAGGAGGAAGAGUGAAGGAAAAGGUCAAACCUGUUUUAAGGGCAACCUGCCUUUGUUCUGAAUUGGUCUUAAGAACAUUACCAGCUCCAGGUUUAAAUUGUUCAGUUUCAUGCAGUUCCAAUAGCUGAUCAUUGUUGAGAUGAGGACAAAAUCCUUUGUCCUCACUAGUUUGCUUUACAUUUUUGAAAAGUAUUAUUUUUGUCCAAGUGCUUAUCAACUAAACCUUGUGUUAGGUAAGAAUGGAAUUUAUUAAGUGAAUCAGUGUGACCCUUCUUGUCAUAAGAUUAUCUUAAAGCUGAAGCCAAAAUAUGCUUCAAAAGAAGAGGACUUUAUUGUUCAUUGUAGUUCAUACAUUCAAAGCAUCUGAACUGUAGUUUCUAUAGCAAGCCAAUUACAUCCAUAAGUGGAGAAGGAAAUAGAUAAAUGUCAAAGUAUGAUUGGUGGAGGGAGCAAGGUUGAAGAUAAUCUGGGGUUGAAAUUUUCUAGUUUUCAUUCUGUACAUUUUUAGUUAGACAUCAGAUUUGAAAUAUUAAUGUUUACCUUUCAAUGUGUGGUAUCAGCUGGACUCAGUAACACCCCUUUCUUCAGCUGGGGAUGGGGAAUGGAUUAUUGGAAAAUGGAAAGAAGAAAGUAACUAAAAGCCUUCCUUUCACAGUUUCUGGCAUCACUACCACUACUGAUUAAACAAGAAUAAGAGAACAUUUUAUCAUCAUCUGCUUUAUUCACAUAAAUGAAGUUGUGAUGAAUAAAUCUGCUUUUAUGCAGACACAAGGAAUUAAGUGGCUUCGUCAUUGUCCUUCUACCUCAAAGAUAAUUUAUUCCAAAAGCUAAGAUAAAUGGAAGACUCUUGAACUUGUGAACUGAUGUGAAAUGCAGAAUCUCUUUUGAGUCUUUGCUGUUUGGAAGAUUGAAAAAUAUUGUUCAGCAUGGGUGACCACCAGAAAGUAAUCUUAAGCCAUCUAGAUGUCACAAUUGAAACAAACUGGGGAGUUGGUUGCUAUUGUAAAAUAAAAUAUACUGUUUUGAAAACUUU